UUGUCAUUAUAAAACUGAUGGAGCUGC
Molecule: small RNA, 27 nt
Filed under: Bombyx mori (domestic silkworm)
Lineage: Eukaryota; Metazoa; Arthropoda; Insecta; Lepidoptera; Bombycidae
Description: ovarian small RNA-1645
Source: RNAcentral